ACUGGGGUGGGGGGGACCUCAGCCCGGAUUGCUAGAAGAUGCAGGCCAGGCCGAGGGACCCCAACAGAGCACG
Molecule: microRNA precursor, 73 nt
Filed under: Myotis brandtii (Brandt's bat)
Lineage: Eukaryota; Metazoa; Chordata; Mammalia; Chiroptera; Vespertilionidae
Description: mir-9193 microRNA precursor family
Rfam family: mir-9193 microRNA precursor family
Source: Rfam by way of RNAcentral